GGGUUGUGAGGUUAAGCGACUAAGCGUACACGGUGGAUGCCCUGGCAGUCAGAGGCGAUGAAGGACGUGCUAAUCUGCGAUAAGCGUCGGUAAGGUGAUAUGAACCGUUAUAACCGGCGAUUUCCGAAUGGGGAAACCCAGUGUGUUUCGACACACUAUCAUUAACUGAAUCCAUAGGUUAAUGAGGCGAACCGGGGGAACUGAAACAUCUAAGUACCCCGAGGAAAAGAAAUCAACCGAGAUUCCCCCAGUAGCGGCGAGCGAACGGGGAGCAGCCCAGAGCCUGAAUCAGUGUGUGUGUUAGUGGAAGCGUCUGGAAAGGCGCGCGAUACAGGGUGACAGCCCCGUACACAAAAAUGCACAUACUGUGAGCUCGAUGAGUAGGGCGGGACACGUGGUA
This 400-nucleotide ribosomal RNA is filed under the name Escherichia coli. RNAcentral describes it as "partial 23S ribosomal RNA". It matches the Rfam family "Bacterial large subunit ribosomal RNA", at positions 1 to 431 of the family's 2925-position model. The record is from RNAcentral. Lineage: Bacteria; Pseudomonadati; Pseudomonadota; Gammaproteobacteria; Enterobacterales; Enterobacteriaceae.